CCUACGGGUGGCAGCAGUGGGGAAUAUUGCACCAUGGGGGCAACCCUGAUGCAGCGACGCCGCGUGAGUGAAGAAGUAAUUCGUUACGUAAAGCUCUCUCAUCAGGGACGAAAAUGACGGUGCCUGCGUAAGAAGCCCCGGCUAACUACGUGCCAGCAGCCGCGGUAAUACGUAGGGGGCAAGCGUUAUCCGGAUUUACUGGGUGUAAAGGGGGCGUAGACGGGGCGCCAAGUCUGGAGGGAAAUGCCCUAGCUUAACUGCGGAACUGCUUUGGAAACUGGCGAACUAGUGUGCUGGAGGGGCAAGCGGAAUUCCGGGUGUAGCGGUGAAAUGCGUAGAUAUUAGGAGGAACACCGGUGGCGAAGGCGGAUUACUGGACCGUAACUGACGUUGAGGCUCGAAAGCGUGGGGAGCAAACAGGAUUAGAUACCCGGGUAGUC
This 440-nucleotide ribosomal RNA is filed under the name uncultured bacterium. RNAcentral's name for it is "partial 16S ribosomal RNA". It matches the Rfam family "Bacterial small subunit ribosomal RNA", at positions 338 to 795 of the family's 1533-position model. The record is from RNAcentral.